Molecule: ribosomal RNA, 301 nt
Filed under: uncultured bacterium
Lineage: Bacteria
Description: partial 16S ribosomal RNA
Rfam family: Bacterial small subunit ribosomal RNA
Source: RNAcentral
CAGUCGCCGCGGGAAUACGAAGGGGGCUAGCGUUGCCCGGAAUCACUGGGCGUAAAGCGCACGUAGGCGGAUCGUUAAGUCAGGGGUGAAAGCCUGGAGCUCAACUCCAGAACUGCCUUUGAUACUGGCGAUCUCGAGUCCGGAAGAGGUGAGUGGAACUGCGAGUGUAGAGGUGAAAUUCGUAGAUAUUCGCAAGAACACCAGUGGCGAAGGCGGCUCACUGGUCCGGUACUGACGCUGAGGUGCGAAAGCGUGGGGAGCAAACAGGAUUAGAUACCCCGGUAGUCCCUGUCUCUUAUAC